This 65-nucleotide transfer RNA is filed under the name mouse gut metagenome. It matches the Rfam family "tRNA", at positions 5 to 66 of the family's 71-position model. From Rfam's summary of the family: Transfer RNA (tRNA) molecules are approximately 80 nucleotides in length. Their secondary structure includes four short double-helical elements and three loops (D, anti-codon, and T loops). Further hydrogen bonds mediate the characteristic L-shaped molecular structure. tRNAs have two regions of fundamental functional importance: the anti-codon, which is responsible for specific mRNA codon recognition, and the 3' end, to which the tRNAs corresponding amino acid is attached (by aminoacyl-tRNA synthetases). tRNAs cope with the degeneracy of the genetic code in two manners: having more than one tRNA (with a specific anti-codon) for a particular amino acid; and 'wobble' base-pairing, i.e. permitting non-standard base-pairing at the 3rd anti-codon position. The record is from RNAcentral. RNAcentral also lists the same sequence under 1 other name.
CCAUGGCUCAGUUGGUAGAGCAACGCAUUCGUAAUGCGUGGGUCGGGGGUUCGAGUCCCCCUGGU